AUGCUCCGCCUCCACAAAUACAUCCUCACCCAACUCCUCCCUUCUUCCCCCGCUUCCACCAUCUCCCCUCUCCACCGCCUCAUCUCCGCCGUCGCGCCCGCCGUUUUCCCCAACCCUAGCUUCGCCGUCGAGGACUACCUCGUCGCCACCUGCGGCCUCACCCGACCACAGGCCGCCAAGGCCUCCGCCAGGCUCUCCCACCUCAAAUCCCCCGCUAAGCCCGACGCCGUCCUCUCCUUCCUCGCCGGUCUCGGCCUCUCCACCGCCGAUGUCGCAGCCCUCGUCGCCAAGGACCCCAAGUUCCUCUGCGCCAAAGUGGAGAAAACCCUGGCCCCCAACGUCGCGGAGCUCAGUCGCGGCCGCUUCCGCAGUAGAUCCAUCCUCUCCAAGCUGCACUACUACCUGCCUCUCUUCGACUCCUCCGAGGGCCUCUUCCGGGUGCUCAAGCGCGGCGCCGGCCUUCUCUCGGCCGACCUCGAGCGGGUGGUCAAGCCCAAUGCUGCGUUCCUUCGGGAGUGCGGGCUAAGUGAUUGCCACAUUGUCAAGUUGUGCAUCGUUCAGCCAUGGCUGCUCCCCUCCAGCAUGGAGCGCAUCCGGGCAAUGGUGGCACGUGCUGAAGGUAUUGGUGUGCCUCGUGGCUGUAAGAUGUUCAGACACGCGUUGCAUGCUGUUGCACGCCUCAGCAACGAGAAGAUCGCCACCAAAGUGGAGCACUUGAAGAAGACAUUUAUGUGGUCAGAUGCUGUGGUCGGCAUUGUUGUCUCCAAGUUUCCAUCUGUGCUGUUGAGGUCUAACCAGAUGCUGCAGAGCAAGUCAGAGUUCCUCGUCUCUGAGGUCGGGCUGGAACCGACAUACAUUGCUCAUCGUCCAGUAAUGCUUAGUUACAGCCUAGAGGGCCGACUCAGGCCCCGGCACUACGUUGUAAAGUUUCUCAAGGAAAAUGGAUUGCUAGAUCGUGACCGGGACUAUUAUAGAGCAGUCAUGAUCAGCGAGAAAGAAUUUGUGGAGAAGUUCAUAUGCCCUCACAAGGAAGCUGCACCACACCUUGCUGAAGACUAUGCAGCAGCUUGCAGAGGGGAAGUGCCUUCCAGUUUCAGAUUUACAUAA
Molecule: ribosomal RNA, 1107 nt
Filed under: Triticum aestivum (bread wheat)
Lineage: Eukaryota; Viridiplantae; Streptophyta; Magnoliopsida; Poales; Poaceae
Description: partial small subunit ribosomal RNA
Source: RNAcentral